Non-coding RNA from Paramuricea clavata, 388 nucleotides. Lineage: Eukaryota; Metazoa; Cnidaria; Anthozoa; Malacalcyonacea; Plexauridae. The record is from the annotation of a GenBank genome assembly.
CUAUGAUGUGAUUGAUAUAUUUCGCUUAAAAUUGUUGUAAUACAGCAGUAUUAAACGUAUUUUUAUUUCAUAUCAUGUAGUUCUUCGACCCUAAUGAUCCACAGGAAGGAGGUUGAUAUUUCAACAUCACCAACAUCCCACCAUGUGACCCAGAUAGUCAAGAUGAUGAGCUGGACAGUGUACUUCCACCAAUAGAAUUACACCAGCCAACUGAUUGUAAUUGUUUUAUUUAUCCAAUAAAUCCUGUUUGCCCUGACGGACAUUCAUACACACCGAAUGAUGGAAGAAGCGCCCAGUGGUAGCAGUGUUGAUGGUGAAACUGAAGGAGGGGCAGUGAAUGUAGAGAAUGAAAUGGAGGAAAUUCAGCACUAUCACAACACUAUAUAUA